CGAGUGAAGCGGGAAAAGCUCAAAUUUAAAAUCUGGUGGUCUUUGGCCAUCCGAGUUGUAAUUUAGAGAAGCGUCUUCCGCGCUGGACCAUGCACAAGUCUCCUGGAAUGGAGCGUCAUAGAGGGUGAGAAUCCCGUCUUUGGCAUGGACCCCAGGGCUUCUGUGAUGCGCUCUCAAAGAGUCGAGUUGUUUGGGAAUGCAGCUCAAAAUGGGUGGUGAACUCCAUCUAAAGCUAAAUAUUGGCGAGAGACCGAUAGCGAACAAGUACCGUGAGGGAAAGAUGAAAAGCACUUUGGAAAGAGAGUGAAACAGUACGUGAAAUUGUUGAAAGGGAAACGCUUGAAGUCAGUCGCGUCGACCGAGACUCAGCCUUGCCUCGGCUUGGUGUACUUCUCGGACCGACGGGUCAGCAUCAAUUUCAAUCCUUGGAUAAUGGCAAGGGAAAGGUGGCACCUUUACAGGUGUGUUAUAGUCCUCUGUCGCAUGCAAGGGUCGGGAUUGAGGAACUCAGCAUGCACCUCAUCGGUGUCGGGGCCUCGGCCUACGUUACGUGCUUAGGAUGNUGGCAUAAUGGCUUUAAACGACCCGUCUUGAAACACGGACCAAGGAGUCUAACAUGCACGCGAGUGUUCGGGUGGAAAACCCGUGCGCGUAAUGAAAGUAAAAGUUGGGACCUCUGUC
RNAcentral lists this ribosomal RNA (681 nucleotides) under Russula lotus. Its description in RNAcentral is "partial large subunit ribosomal RNA". It matches the Rfam family "Eukaryotic large subunit ribosomal RNA", at positions 90 to 748 of the family's 3401-position model. The record is from RNAcentral. Lineage: Eukaryota; Fungi; Basidiomycota; Agaricomycetes; Russulales; Russulaceae.